Molecule: long non-coding RNA, 391 nt
Filed under: Elaeis guineensis (African oil palm)
Lineage: Eukaryota; Viridiplantae; Streptophyta; Magnoliopsida; Arecales; Arecaceae
Description: long non-coding RNA (EGUI_LNC015686)
Source: RNAcentral
GGGUUGAGCAGAUUCUGAUUCAGCAAUACAAGUGUUUUGCCUCUACGGAUAUCCACAAGAUCGAUCUGAAUUAUUUUCUUUUGAAUCCUACUUGCUUGAAUCGAAGGCCUAAAAAGAUUUGAACCAAGCCUAGAUAGGGAUCAACCCUUGAAUCUUUUUUGAUCUUUCUUUCUUAAUUUUUGAAGAAUUCAAGAAUCUUUCUUGAUCCCUCAACUAAUCAAGAAGAAUAAAUAUCAAAAAGUGGUUAUAACAAACUCCCAAUAAACUUGAGAGGAAGAAAAAGAAACCAACAACCUAGACGCCAACAUUUGACACCAAGCAAUAGGUUGCCGCCCAUUUCUCUCUAAGAUCCAAAAGGAGGAUGCCUAGAGAGAGAGAGGGCGUGGGCUAA